This 76-nucleotide non-coding RNA is filed under the name unclassified sequences. Its description in RNAcentral is "PRA sequence". It matches the Rfam family "Fibro-purF RNA". The record is from RNAcentral.
GUCCGUUUCCCUGCUUGCACCCGUGUGGGUGGGCUGUGACCUUCGAGGUAGGGGAAACAAUACAUUUCAAAGAGGC